UGUGUGCAAAACACGUCUAACAUCCUUGUUACAACCUCUUUAGUUCUCUUCCCUUCGCCAACUUACAGCACAGAGAACUUACAUUUGAAGGCCAACAUCACAGGCACCUUUGGAACACCCCCACGUUCCCUCCGCGUGGACCCAGCCUCUCCGCGCAAUGAGUUGUGGGGAUUGUAGUUCGCCCGCCGCAGCUGGCCCUGCGGCUCUCCCGACCAGGCUGUGAGGAGGAGCGAGUCCUCGAUCACCUAUGGGAAGGUCUUUUCAGCCUCGACGCCGAACCUUGGGGCGUUGGGAGUUUAAACUUUCCAUUCCUGGAAGUGACACCCGGAGGAGAACAGCCACUCCAGGUUGGGAAGCAGAAGGUAAACAUUUUCAGCAAGACCUCACUUUUUGGAAUGGUUUUCCUUCCUCCUCUUCUUGUUGCAUUUCAUUUGCCCACAUUUGACUCCGAAUAAAGCUCUAACCUGUUUUUAUAAA
Molecule: long non-coding RNA, 477 nt
Organism: Suricata suricatta (meerkat)
Lineage: Eukaryota; Metazoa; Chordata; Mammalia; Carnivora; Herpestidae
Exons: 3
Source: RefSeq, a predicted model, not a curated record